RNAcentral lists this ribosomal RNA (424 nucleotides) under uncultured prokaryote. RNAcentral's name for it is "bacterial SSU rRNA". It matches the Rfam family "Bacterial small subunit ribosomal RNA", at positions 355 to 796 of the family's 1533-position model. The record is from RNAcentral.
UGGGGAAUCUUGGACAAUGGGGGCAACCCUGAUCCAGCCAUGCCGCGUGGGUGAAGAAGGCCUUAGGGUUGUAAAGCCCUUUCAGUCGUGACGAUGAUGACGGUAGCGACAGAAGAAGCCCCGGCUAACUCCGUGCCAGCAGCCGCGGUAAUACGGAGGGGGCAAGCGUUGUUCGGAAUUACUGGGCGUAAAGGGCGCGUAGGCGGUCUGUUGCGUCAGGUGUGAAAGCCCCGGGCUCAACCUGGGAGGUGCACUUGAUACGGGCGGACUGGAAUCCGGGAGAGGAUGGUGGAAUUCCCAGUGUAGAGGUGAAAUUCGUAGAUAUUGGGAAGAACACCGAUGGCGAAGGCAGCCAUCUGGUCCGGUAUUGACGCUGAGGCGCGAAAGCGUGGGGAGCAAACAGGAUUAGAUACCCCCGUAGUCC